Molecule: long non-coding RNA, 6851 nt
Organism: Pteropus alecto (black flying fox)
Lineage: Eukaryota; Metazoa; Chordata; Mammalia; Chiroptera; Pteropodidae
Exons: 2
Source: RefSeq, a predicted model, not a curated record
CCUCCCCCAGCCACCCUUUUGGGGACCUCUUGCCUCUCUGAGCUUCAGUGUCCCCAACCUCACACCUAGGCACCCCAGGAGAAGGGGUACACUACCCUUCCUGCAAGGCCCAGCCUUCCAGCCCGGACCAGGAGCCAAGAGGCAGCUGCCACCAAGCCAGAGCAGUCACUAGGUGACUCAUAAGCCAGUUUCCGCAAAGCGGCUGCCACAGUUUGUGGCCCCUGAGCCUGUACAGUGAGGCUCAAGAGGUAAAAAUAACCCGUGACAGGCCCUGCAGGAGCAGGCUGGCGGGCUUGGGGGGUGGGUCCUUCCAUUCACCUAACCCCACUCCCUGCAAAGCCUCGCUGCCCCUCUCCAGUGCCCCUCCCCCCAGCUGCCCCGUGCCAGGGCAGCGAGGUGCCAGGAGAACCUGCCCAGAGCCAGCGUUUGCGGAAUUGAGUUGCAUUAAAUCAGAUUGCUUCCCAAAGGCCCUUUGUGAACUCAGGAGGCUAAUGAAAUGCACGAGGAUAUUAUUAAAAUAUGUUCGCACAUGUUUAGAGAGAGUCUGCCCAGUGCUAAAUGGUUUGCUGCCUGAGUCCCGCUCUGUACCUUGUUUUUACCCCCUCCUUCCAUAAAGCUGCGUAGGGACCUCCCAUCCAAGGGGCUGACAUCGUGUCGAACUUGUCAUUAUUAGGCCUGGGCACUGUCAGACAUUCUGCUUUUGUCCUUCCUUUGGGUUCAGGACUUAAAAAAAUUUCCUUCUAAUUAGCCCUUCUUGGGCUAAUCGGCCCUGAUGAUAUUUUGGCUGACACCAAGGUGUCGUUAAACCCGUCUGAGACCUGUGUGCGCAGGGGCCUUGAGUGGGACUCUUGGGGGUAUUGCCUGGAGGAACCAUGGUCUGUGCAGCUGGCCCCAGGGUGGCCUAUUAGUCACCCUGUAUUUUUUCCACAGGGCCCCCUACUUACUGGAAGAAAGCCUGGGGCAGGAGGAAGCAGCUUUAAAACAUAGAUAUAAUGUAACAGUUUGUUGCAAAUGCUAAUCAGAUUUCAAUAAAGACUCUGCUGAGGAAGCCUUAGGGCUUGGAGUUUCUUUAUAAGAAAAGAUAGGAAGGAAGAAGGGGAAGAAACUGAAAAAACGAAAGAGACAAACAGCGGCCCUGGGUGGUUCAGAUGAUCCCGCCGGGAACUUUGCCGAUGGGUGUGGAGUUGGGCUGCAGGGCAGGGCCCAGGUGGCUUCUCUUCGACGAGAAAGACGCCCUGGCUGGGGCUGCCUGGGACUCAGUUUCCUUACCUGAAACAUGAGACCCGUGAGGGUUGAAAUCUAAAAUCCUACCAUCUUUUGAGGUGGGGCCUCUGGCUGGAGGCUUCCAUGCCCGGAAUGGUCCCCCUGCCAGUUGAGUUGGGUCCCCGGCGUGGUCUUCAAUUGCCCCAAAUUUCGAAUCUGGAGGAGGCUUGGCCAUCUCGGGGUCUUGCCACCACUUUAUAGAUGAGGGACGGUGGCGACGGGAAGGUUUUGCCCUAGGUCACCAACCCAGACUCAGGGUCACUUCUCACUUGAAUGUGGAACUCAGGCCAGAGUAGACCCACCUUGGGGAGCUAGAAGAAAUCGGUGGCACCCCUUUUGCACCCAUGAGGGUGGGAAGUGGGAUGCCAGACAUCUGGAAUGGCCUAACUUUAAAAAGACACCCCAGGGGCCCCAUCUUUCCUGAGAGUCAAGGGGCGAGGGAUGAUGUCUGAUGGGAAUUCAGUUUCCACAGCUCCCCCCCACCAUGGAAAAAUACGCCAUUCUUUAAAAAGCCAGGGGUCUCGGGAUUAAAAACAGCUGGCUCGAGUGACAGCCCGCCAGAGAUGACAGCCGGGAAGUUCACUGUGGCUCCUUUUGAGGGAGGGGUCGCCUUUCUUGUUGGUCUCUUUCAGUUCUGCGUUUCUUAGAAAUGACCCCGGCUUUCUCCUUCAGCUUCUGUGUUUGCGGGGAGAGGGGACAGAUGCUAACUGCUCUCCAGACUGAAUGAUGCUACCAUAGUCCUUGGCGCUUGUGGCAGCAUUUCUCCAGGGCCCUGGGAGGUGUCCCCUGCCCUGGACCCACCCCCCACACCUUUACGGUGGCCGUUUGGGUUUUUAAUACCGCCAAAGUCAUUGAGCCUCUGAUUCCUCUCCUUCAGCCAGUUCCAAACAAAUAGUCUAAAACAGCUUUCGGAAACUCCCAGGACACCCAGGGUGCUGAUGGCUUGUCUGGCACUUGCUGUUCAUGUGUAACUCUCGAAGCCAGGGCACCUCAACCUCGGCACCAGGAUGCUGGGCCAGACGGCGCCGCGUUGGGAGGGAGGGGAAGGUGGUCCCCUGUGCUGGAUGAUCUCUGGCUUCUACCUGCUGGAUGCCAGUAGCAUUUUGCUCUCGCCACCAAGCUGUAACAACCAGAAAUAUCUGCAGACGUCGCCAGUGUUCCCUGAGGGGCACAUCGCCUGGCUGAUCAGUUAUUGGUUUCUUUAAUCAACGAUUGGUUCCUCUAAAUUUGGGGGGUGGUGGGAGGCAAAUCUGAGUUGCCAGAAGGUGUCCAGUUCCCUGCAGAAAUCAGUCCCUGGAUAGAAAGGCUGUGGUCACACUCCAAGUUGGCGCCUGCCACUCACUCACUCAGCCUUUGCUGGGUGCCUGUCGUGUGCAGGGAAGGUUGGGGUGGGGGGUGCCCUCUUGAUGAAGUUCCCAGGUUUCAUUGUGGAUUCGCCUGUCUUCGGAGGAGAGACUCAGGCACCAGUGAAAGCUGGUAUUUCAGAACUUGGGUUAAAAACCGUGAGUGUUGAGAGCCAGCGUUUCCCUCAGCUGGCACUUUCAACCCGCGUGUUUUCCGACUCGGUUUUCGUCGGAGGUGUAACGAGGGGUUGAGUUUCGACUGGAUCUCAGGUCGGGCAGUUGGCCGCAGCUUCCCGGAGGUCUGGGUUAAGCCCGCAUGGCCCAGCGUGGCCCGGGGUCAGGGGCGAGCUCGGUGUUUGUCAAGACGCAGAAUAACUAACAGCUCCUGCGUGUGCACACACACGCGUACACCCACAUACACGUGCAUACUCACGCGUGCACAUGCGCCCACAUGCAUGCACGCGUAAACACCCUCGCAGUCGUCACACACACACUCAGCUGCUACCGCUGGCUUUCCCGCUGGCUUCCUUCUGAGUGGGGUACGGUGCCAGCUUCUCCUGGGCAUAUAAGAAGAAGAAGAGAGAAGAAGGUGCAUGCGCACAUCCCCCCCAAGAGCUGUGCGGACUUGGGCACACUCCCUUCGAGAGAAGUAAGGGGAAUGGAGUGGUGCGAGCGGCCGCCAGGCAAGGAGGGUGUCGAGAGGGCUGGUGGCCGCUGGCCUUCGGGACAGCAAGAUGCCUGUGCCCCCAGCAGCCCCAGAGCUGCGGCUAAAAACCCAAGGCCAGGGUUUUUAAAGGUUUAUGGUUCGGUCCAUCGUGAAAACAUAAGAAAAGGUUCGAGAGGAGGGUACCGGGGUAGAGCCCAGACCUCAGGGUCCGGGUGGCUUUUUCGCUUCAGGUAUCCUCAGCCAGAGACGAAGUUUGCAGGCAGCUCAGCAGCUGGGAUCCUGCCCAGAGAGAAUAACUGACAAAUCGAACCUGGGAGGCUGUGCUCCUGCCGCCUUGGGCUCUCGUAGAGCGCACGUGCCGGGGGAGGGAGAUCAAAGCCAAGGGCCCACUUUGUGCUUUUCCAAAGUUGGAUACAGAGAGCUUAUUAUGUGCCAGGUACUAGUGACGCAUUUUUCUCAGUCUUCAAAACAACUCUGUGAGAGAGCUCUUGCUGCCACCGAUUUUGCAGAUGCCGAAAUGGGAUCAGAGAGGGUAAGACACUUGCUCCAGGUCACACAGCCAGGCAGUGACGCUCUGUUGGGAUUCAGACCUAGGUUUCCGGCUCCCACCAUGUCUCCGCACACCGCCUGAGCCCCAGCAUUUUCUUUGCGAGACUUGACACCGCAGUGGUAUUUUAGGCUUCGUGCUAGGACAGCAAGACCCCCCCGGGGCCUGCCUUCAGGGACGGGCGCUAACAAACCUCAGCGCUCGCAGCCAGGCUCGUCCCAUCCUGGCAGUGCCCCGGCCGUUCCAGGUGCUGGGACCGUCACAGGAGAACAGGGACACAACCCUGCCUCCUGAGAGCUGCCGUUCCGGCGAGGACACACAGGAAGAAUUGAGUUCAUUUCAGGGAAGGGACCUGAGAGGCGACCAGAAUGGGACCACCCGCAAAGCCUCUUUCAGGGGGCGCCCCCCAGGCUCCCAGGCUGGUCGUGCUGUUUGGGAUUCAGGCACAGCCCUUGAGUCUCUCCUGUCAGACCUGCCACUCACUCUUGACUGCUGUGUAGAGAGCUGUGUCACGUCCGUUCCCUCUGGUCACCAGGCACCAAGGGGGUUGGGGACCGUGUCUGCUUUGUUCAUUAUAUCUCCCCAGCCUGACAGGUAGCUCGUAUGUGUAGGAGGCGGGAAGGAAGUGGGCAGGGCGGGCGGACGGACAGGCUUGUAGAAGAAAAUCCUGGACAGAGAAAGUGCCGGACAGAGAGAUGCCGUCAAGACAGAGGCUCUGAAAACCAUCCUUUCUCAGGCGAGCACAGAAUCUCUCCUGAGCCUCCACCCGCCCUCCGUGAAACGCUUCCUGCUCCACCGGCUCACAGCACAGUCGCCUGAGCCAUGAAAGGGCCUUGGGCACAAAGUCUUAUUUCGAAGAUUCCAGAGACAGUUGCACUGUUUUGGGCAGGAAGCGGUGCCUUCGCCUCCGGAGACGGCAAAGCUGCACUUGGGGACCCGUGUGGACGUGUCCCCACCUCAGCCCAGUUGUCCCCGGAGAGAUCUGUGGCUUUAGUGCUGAUAAGAGAGAGCAUCGAAAUGACAAAUGACAAAAACGCAUCGCCAGGGCCUGUCCCUCGUCCCAGAAGGAGAAUUUCUAGGGCAACUCUUCUCUGCACACACUCGCCCCAGACUUGGAGCGGUUUUCAGCUCCUCUGCCACCCGUUGGCACCCACGGGUGGAGCUGGUGUUUGCUCAGAUGUGACGUUGAGAUGCCACGCGUUGUGAGGAGUUAGGUGUGACUCACCUUCAGCGGUACCAGGUGGCGAUCGGGUCGCCCUGGUGGUCCAGCAGUUCUAAUGUGUGUUUGUUUUCCACUGGGCUGGGGGUGGGACAGAACAGGGCUGGGUCACUUGGCUUCCUGUCGGCGCCCGCAGGGAGCUCGCUGGGACGUCAGAAGCACUGGGAGAGGCAGACUCUGGCUUCCCUUCCCUUCACAUAUGUUUUAACUACAGCCAUUUAUUAUUGUAUCAGUGGGUUUAGGAAGUGGUUCUAGUGGCAGGAAAGAGAGUUUUAAUUAUUCGGUAACAAGCGUAAAUUCCCCAGUGGCUCUGGGAUCUGAAUGCUUGGGUAAAGUUUGCUUCUGGCCUCUGCAAACCCGUCCUCCAGGAAGGGGCUCCCUGUGACCCCCAGCAUGCAGCGCUGGGCUCCCCCAGGCUGGACAGAUACAGCCAAAUCCUCUGAACAGUCAGUCACGCAUGGGCAAGACACCACCUUGCCUUCUAAGCUGGGAGGAAUCGCCCCCCAUCUUUUGUCUCUAACAGGGACUUUGGUGGCAGGGGGAGGGGUUGCAUGUCCAGUCCUGGUGAGGGUUGGUUGAACUUCUUUGUGUGAUCUUGGCACAAAGUAGGUGUUCAGUAAACAGGGACACAUUUGGUGAGAGAAUGGAGUUCUCAUGGCCUCGUCCCCACCUCGUGGCUGCUGGGAGCUCGCAGUGAUGAUCCACAAACCGCUCUCGUGUGACAGGGCCUGUCUGUGGCAGCUGUCACCUUUGAUCUUCUCUGAUGGGGGCAUCAUUGAUUCCUGGCGUGCGGGUCACGUGGGCUUCAGGGGUGGGACAGUCUCUGUUGGUCCUUAAGGUCUCCAGGAGCUGAUGUGUCCGCCCCGGGGGUAAAAGUGACGGACCCGGCUGUGGCUUUGUGGGGACAUCAGUAGUUUAGAACAUAGAAACAUGUGCUUUUAUAUAUACAACUAUACAUCUCAGACUAUGUGAAAUAUGUAUAUGUUUUUUAUGAUUGUAGACUAUUUUGAAAUGCGUGCCUCCCUCUCACCCCGCCGCCCCAAGGCUGGAGACUCCUCUGAGGUCCCUCAACUGGAGUCCCCACUGCUGUGACCAGGACUGAGCCUGAGCCUUCCCCUGGCUUUGCCCUGAGGUCGCUGGGGCAGGUGAAACUGGCUUCCCCGCCUCUGACCUCAGAAGCGGGAGCAGUGGGGAGCUGAGUCACUUUUCCAGCAAAGUGUGGGCCAAGCCAGCUGCGCUUUCCCAGACGAGGUUCUUCAGCCCCAGUGGGCCCGGCUACCUGGUCGUGCCCUGGUCCUCCGAGCUGAGCGCCCCAGCCUGCUGUGCGCCCCACCUGCCUGGCCUUGCCCAUGAGCGUCUGGGCAGUCAGUGGUAAGUGGGGCGGCUCCUGAGAGCAUAAGCCAGGCCUAAGCUCGUUUUUGAUCUCACCUGCGUCGGUUUGCCCGCUAGGGUUGGACGCCCCCGACGGAGAAGCUUUUUCAGGCUUUGCAAAAGCUGUCUGAUAAGGUUCAGAUGUCUGGCCAACAAGGUUCAACCCAAGCCAUGUGGGGUGAUUCAUCCAAGAGGCCACAUUUGCAUUAGGAAGUUCUCAGAAUUUGCAUGUGGCCACAACAAACGCCAUUUCUUCAUCAGCCUAAGUUUUAUGGCAGGUAAAAUCGCUUUGAUCUGUUAUACCUCCAACUGAUGUCAGCUGAGAGGUGGCGUGAGAAUUUGGUCUUGAAGAUGAUGUGUUUCAAGUCUCAUCACAGAAGGGAGAACCUCUGUGUUCUAUUGCUACACAUAAGGAAUAAAAAAUAAAAGUUGAUGCCAAGA